Molecule: ribosomal RNA, 491 nt
Filed under: uncultured bacterium
Lineage: Bacteria
Description: partial 16S ribosomal RNA
Rfam family: Bacterial small subunit ribosomal RNA
Source: RNAcentral
AGUGAACGCUGGCGGUAGGCCUAACACAUGCAAGUCGAACGGCAGCACAGUAAGAGCUUGCUCUUACGGGUGGCGAGUGGCGGACGGGUGAGGAAUACAUCGGAAUCUACUUUUUCGUGGGGGAUAACGUAGGGAAACUUACGCUAAUACCGCAUACGACCUACGGGUGAAAGCAGGGGAUCUUCGGACCUUGCGCGAUUGAAUGAGCCGAUGUCGGAUUAGCUAGUUGGCGGGGUAAAGGCCCACCAAGGCGACGAUCCGUAGCUGGUCUGAGAGGAUGAUCAGCCACACUGGAACGGAGACACGGUCCAGACUCCUACGGGAGGCAGCAGUGGGGAAUAUUGGACAAUGGGCGCAAGCCUGAUCCAGCCAUACCGCGUGGGUGAAGAAGGCCUUCGGGUUGUAAAGCCCUUUUGUUGGGAAAGAAAAGCAGCAGGUUAAUACCCCGCUGUUCGGACGGUACCCAAAGAAUAAGCACCGGCUAACUUCGU